GGAGAGGUGGCUGAGUGGUCGAAAGCACCGGUUUGCUAAAUCGGCGUGGGUCGAAAGAUUCACCGCGGGUUCAAAUCCCGCCCUCUCCG
This 89-nucleotide transfer RNA is filed under the name Planctomycetota bacterium. Its description in RNAcentral is "tRNA-Ser". It matches the Rfam family "tRNA". From Rfam's summary of the family: Transfer RNA (tRNA) molecules are approximately 80 nucleotides in length. Their secondary structure includes four short double-helical elements and three loops (D, anti-codon, and T loops). Lineage: Bacteria; Pseudomonadati; Planctomycetota. RNAcentral also lists the same sequence under 1 other name. The record is from RNAcentral.